This is a non-coding RNA of Podarcis lilfordi (Lilford's wall lizard), 74 nucleotides long. The record is from the annotation of a GenBank genome assembly. Lineage: Eukaryota; Metazoa; Chordata; Lepidosauria; Squamata; Lacertidae.
GGGGCCAUGGCUUAACGGUAUAGCAACACAUACGAUGCAUGAGGAGGGUCCAGGUUCAAUCCCUGGCAUCCCUG